UCCAAACAGCCAUUCAUGCAAAACCCAACUUAGACAUCUUUGUUUCAAAAUUUUUUUACAACUGUUCAUCGACAUGACCCAACACAGACAAUAUAGUAUCAGUUCACCCCUCAUCUGAACGUUAUUGUCUCCACUUUCCCCAACUUUCCUCUUCCCUCAUUAGUAAAUUUUUCCAUUCCCUUCUUGCUGAUCAUCCCAAAUGAGACAGCAGACCCUCCAUUCCUUCAUGCCCAAAUCGAGCAGCCAUUGAGUCUUCUUUAAGCCUCAAAAUAGCUUCUCUGUAGAUGAGGAUUAACGCCGUUGGAAGGCACAAAGCUUGAAGCCGUUUGAAUGGAAGCCGUAUGCUGCAGACUUUAUUUUUGCGAAUCUCUAGCCCUAACCUGCCCAUUGCCAGCAUAAUCUUGACCCUAAAACUCCAAAUCUCUGGCCCUAAACCCUAUAUUGUGAGCACUUGACUUGAAGCCGUGUGAAUCUCUACCCAAAGCUGGCCAUUGCCAGUCAAAUCUUUGGCCCUGACCUAGGCUUAACCCUCCUUGUAGUGCAUCGUCACCUCAGAAGCCAACUGUCCCUUCAGUCAAGGUCACCCUUCGCCUGCAUUUACAUUGCAAUCGACCCCUAUCUUGCUUCAAGCAAGAGUUGUUCUUCCUGUAGCAAAAAUGGUGUGUAAAGCUAAACCUCUCUCUUCAAGAAAAACCACCCCUUUAAAACUACGCUAGCCUCACAUCUUCAUCACCUUCCAAACUCCCAAGAAAUGGUGUUGCCGCCAUACCUUCACCACUACGGUUCCUAGGACUCUUUCCUACUGGAUUCAUUUGGUGAACGUCAAUCUAGCAGUCGGCCUCUACUCUUUUGUGGAGAUAAUUACUUAUUCUGGAAAGAUAGAAUGAAAAUAUUCUUUCAGAUUCAAGGUCAAGAAAUCUGAAAAUAUAUUGUAAAUGAACCUUAUAUCCCAACAAAAGUGGUUGAUGGGGUAAAGGAGAAAAAUGAAGAAGAAAAGUUUGAUCGUGAA
Molecule: long non-coding RNA, 1009 nt
Organism: Carya illinoinensis
Lineage: Eukaryota; Viridiplantae; Streptophyta; Magnoliopsida; Fagales; Juglandaceae
Exons: 2
Source: RefSeq, a predicted model, not a curated record